Molecule: ribosomal RNA, 253 nt
Filed under: uncultured bacterium
Lineage: Bacteria
Description: partial 16S ribosomal RNA
Rfam family: Bacterial small subunit ribosomal RNA
Source: RNAcentral
UACGGAGGGGGCUAGCGUUGUUCGGAAUUACUGGGCGUAAAGCGCACGUAGGCGGCUUUGUAAGUUAGAGGUGAAAGCCCGGGGCUCAACUCCGGAACUGCCUUUAAGACUGCAUCGCUUGAACAUCGGAGAGGUAAGUGGAAUUCCGAGUGUAGAGGUGAAAUUCGUAGAUGUUCGGAAGAACACCAGUGGCGAAGGCGACUUACUGGACGAUUGUUGACGCUGAGGUGCGAAAGCGUGGGGAGCAAACAGG